GUAGGGAAUAUUGCACAAUGGAGGAAACUCUGAUGCAGCGACGCCGCGUGAGUGAUGAAGGCCUUCGGGUCGUAAAGCUCUGUCGCAGGGGAAUAACACAAUGAAGGUACCCUGUAAGAAAGGAUCGGCUAACUUCGUGCCAGCAGCCGCGGUAAGACGAGGGAUCCUAGCGUUGUUCGGAAUCAUUGGGCGUAAAGCGGAUGUAGGUGGCUAUGUAAGUCAGAUGUGAAAGCCUGGGGCUCAACCCCAGAAGUGCAUUUGAUACUGCGUAGCUUGAGUGUCGGAGAGGUUACUAGAAUUGUUGGUGUAGUGGUGAAAUACGUAGAUAUCAACAGGAAUACCGGAGGCGAAGGCGGGUAACUGGCCGAACACUGACACUGAGAUCCGAAAGCGUGGGGAUCAAACAGGAUUAGAAACCCGUGUAGUCC
This 428-nucleotide ribosomal RNA is filed under the name uncultured bacterium. RNAcentral describes it as "bacterial SSU rRNA". It matches the Rfam family "Bacterial small subunit ribosomal RNA", at positions 354 to 796 of the family's 1533-position model. The record is from RNAcentral.